GGUUAAGCGACUAAGCGUACACGGUGGAUGCCCUGGCAGUCAGAGGCGAUGAAGGACGUGCUAAUCUGCGAUAAGCGUCGGUAAGGUGAUAUGAACCGUUAUAACCGGCGAUUUCCGAAUGGGGAAACCCAGUGUGAUUCGUCACACUAUCAUUAACUGAAUCCAUAGGUUAAUGAGGCGAACCGGGGGAACUGAAACAUCUAAGUACCCCGAGGAAAAGAAAUCAACCGAGAUUCCCCCAGUAGCGGCGAGCGAACGGGGAGCAGCCCAGAGCCUGAAUCAGUGUGUGUGUUAGUGGAAGCGUCUGGAAAGGCGUGCGAUACAGGGUGACAGCCCCGUACACAAAAAUGCACAUACUGUGAGCUCGAUGAGUAGGGCGGGACACGUGGUAUCCUGUCUGAAUAUGGGGGGACCAUCCUCCAAGGCUAAAUACUCCUGACUGACCGAUAGUGAACCAGUACCGUGAGGGAAAGGCGAAAAGAACCCCGGCGAGGGGAGUGAAAAAGAACCUGAAACCGUGUACGUACAAGCAGUGGGAGCACGCUUAGGCGUGUGACUGCGUACCUUUUGUAUAAUGGGUCAGCGACUUAUAUUCUGUAGCAAGGUUAACCGAAUAGGGGAGCCGAAGGGAAACCGAGUCUUAACUGGGCGUUAAGUUGCAGGGUAUAGACCCGAAACCCGGUGAUCUAGCCAUGGGCAGGUUGAAGGUUGGGUAACACUAACUGGAGGACCGAACCGACUAAUGUUGAAAAAUUAGCGGAUGACUUGUGGCUGGGGGUGAAAGGCCAAUCAAACCGGGAGAUAGCUGGUUCUCCCCGAAAGCUAUUUAGGUAGCGCCUCGUGAAUUCAUCUCCGGGGGUAGAGCACUGUUUCGGCAAGGGGGUCAUCCCGACUUACCAACCCGAUGCAAACUGCGAAUACCGGAGAAUGUUAUCACGGGAGACACACGGCGGGUGCUAACGUCCGUCGUGAAGAGGGAAACAACCCAGACCGCCAGCUAAGGUCCCAAAGUCAUGGUUAAGUGGGAAACGAUGUGGGAAGGCCCAGACAGCCAGGAUGUUGGCUUAGAAGCAGCCAUCAUUUAAAGAAAGCGUAAUAGCUCACUGGUCGAGUCGGCCUGCGCGGAAGAUGUAACGGGGCUAAACCAUGCACCGAAGCUGCGGCAGCGACGCUUAUGCGUUGUUGGGUAGGGGAGCGUUCUGUAAGCCUGUGAAGGUGUGCUGUGAGGUAUGCUGGAGGUAUCAGAAGUGCGAAUGCUGACAUAAGUAACGAUAAAGCGGGUGAAAAGCCCGCUCGCCGGAAGACCAAGGGUUCCUGUCCAACGUUAAUCGGGGCAGGGUGAGUCGACCCCUAAGGCGAGGCCGAAAGGCGUAGUCGAUGGGAAACAGGUUAAUAUUCCUGUACUUGGUGUUACUGCGAAGGGGGGACGGAGAAGGCUAUGUUGGCCGGGCGACGGUUGUCCCGGUUUAAGCGUGUAGGCUGGUUUUCCAGGCAAAUCCGGAAAAUCAAGGCCGAGGCGUGAUGACGAGGCACUACGGUGCUGAAGCAACAAAUGCCCUGCUUCCAGGAAAAGCCUCUAAGCAUCAGGUAACAUCAAAUCGUACCCCAAACCGACACAGGUGGUCAGGUAGAGAAUACCAAGGCGCUUGAGAGAACUCGGGUGAAGGAACUAGGCAAAAUGGUGCCGUAACUUCGGGAGAAGGCACGCUGAUACGUAGGUGAAGCGACUUGCUCGUGGAGCUGAAAUCAGUCGAAGAUACCAGCUGGCUGCAACUGUUUAUUAAAAACACAGCACUGUGCAAACACGAAAGUGGACGUAUACGGUGUGACGCCUGCCCGGUGCCGGAAGGUUAAUUGAUGGGGUUAGCGCAAGCGAAGCUCUUGAUCGAAGCCCCGGUAAACGGCGGCCGUAACUAUAACGGUCCUAAGGUAGCGAAAUUCCUUGUCGGGUAAGUUCCGACCUGCACGAAUGGCGUAAUGAUGGCCAGGCUGUCUCCACCCGAGACUCAGUGAAAUUGAACUCGCUGUGAAGAUGCAGUGUACCCGCGGCAAGACGGAAAGACCCCGUGAACCUUUACUAUAGCUUGACACUGAACAUUGAGCCUUGAUGUGUAGGAUAGGUGGGAGGCUUUGAAGUGUGGACGCCAGUCUGCAUGGAGCCGACCUUGAAAUACCACCCUUUAAUGUUUGAUGUUCUAACGUGGACCCGUGAUCCGGGUUGCGGACAGUGUCUGGUGGGUAGUUUGACUGGGGCGGUCUCCUCCUAAAGAGUAACGGAGGAGCACGAAGGUUGGCUAAUCCUGGUCGGACAUCAGGAGGUUAGUGCAAUGGCAUAAGCCAGCUUGACUGCGAGCGUGACGGCGCGAGCAGGUGCGAAAGCAGGUCAUAGUGAUCCGGUGGUUCUGAAUGGAAGGGCCAUCGCUCAACGGAUAAAAGGUACUCCGGGGAUAACAGGCUGAUACCGCCCAAGAGUUCAUAUCGACGGCGGUGUUUGGCACCUCGAUGUCGGCUCAUCACAUCCUGGGGCUGAAGUAGGUCCCAAGGGUAUGGCUGUUCGCCAUUUAAAGUGGUACGCGAGCUGGGUUUAGAACGUCGUGAGACAGUUCGGUCCCUAUCUGCCGUGGGCGCUGGAGAACUGAGGGGGGCUGCUCCUAGUACGAGAGGACCGGAGUGGACGCAUCACUGGUGUUCGGGUUGUCAUGCCAAUGGCACUGCCCGGUAGCUAAAUGCGGAAGAGAUAAGUGCUGAAAGCAUCUAAGCACGAAACUUGCCCCGAGAUGAGUUCUCCCUG
RNAcentral lists this ribosomal RNA (2791 nucleotides) under Escherichia coli. RNAcentral's name for it is "partial 23S ribosomal RNA". It matches the Rfam family "Bacterial large subunit ribosomal RNA". RNAcentral also lists the same sequence under 1 other name. Lineage: Bacteria; Pseudomonadati; Pseudomonadota; Gammaproteobacteria; Enterobacterales; Enterobacteriaceae. The record is from RNAcentral.